CCAGUGAAUUGUAAUACGACUCACUAUAGGGCGAAUUGGGCCCGACGUCGCAUGCUCCCGGCCGCCAUGGCGGCCGCGGGAAUUCGAUUGGAUUAGGCAUGCAAGUCGAACGAGAACGCAACUUCGGUUGUAAGUAAAGUGGCGAAAGGGUGAGCAACGCAUGAUCAACCUACCCCCAAGACGGGGAUAACGGUCCGAAAGGGCCGCUAAUACCCGAUAUGGCGGGAGUUCCUCCUGGAGCAUCUGUUAAAGGUGGGGACCUUCGGGCCUUCCACUUGGUGAGGGGAUCAUGUCCUAUUAGCUUGUUGGUGAGGUAACGGCUCACCAAGGCAACGAUGGGUAGCCGGCCUGAGAGGGUGGUCGGCCACACUGGGACUGAGACACUGCCCAGACUCCUACGGGAGGCUGCAGUCGAGAAUCAUUCUCAAUGGACGCAAGUCUGAAGAUGCGACGCCGCGUGGGGGAAGAAGGCCCUUGAGUUGUAAACCCUAGUCUCGGGUGAAGAAUUGCGUACGCGAUAACAUCAAGUACGUUUGACGUUAACUCGAAAGAAGCACCGGCUAACUACGUGCCAGCAGCCGCGGUAAUACGUAGGGUGCGAGCGUUGUUCGGAAUCACUGGGCAUAAAGCGCAUGUAGGCGGUCCGGCCAGUCAGGUGUGAAAGCCCAUGGCUCAACCAUGGAAUAGCACUUGAUACUUCCGGACUCGAGGGCGUCAGAGGAGAGUGGAACUCGUAGUGGAGCGGUGAAAUGCGUAGAUAUUACGAGGAACACCGGCGGCGAAAGCGACUCUCUGGGGCGUUCCAGACGCUGAGAUGCGAAAGCCAGGGUAGCGAACGGGAUUAGAUACCCCGGUAGUCCUGGCCCUAAACGAUGGGCACUAAGUAGAGGGGUUUUAAUCACUAGUGAAUUCGCGGCCGCCUGCAGGUCAACCAUAUGGGAGAGCUCCCAACGCGUUGGAUGCAUAGCUUGAGUAUUC
RNAcentral lists this ribosomal RNA (978 nucleotides) under uncultured Planctomycetota bacterium. RNAcentral's name for it is "uncultured planctomycete partial 16S ribosomal RNA". It matches the Rfam family "Bacterial small subunit ribosomal RNA". The record is from RNAcentral. Lineage: Bacteria; Pseudomonadati; Planctomycetota.